Molecule: ribosomal RNA, 498 nt
Filed under: uncultured bacterium
Lineage: Bacteria
Description: partial 16S ribosomal RNA
Rfam family: Bacterial small subunit ribosomal RNA
Source: RNAcentral
GACGAACGCUGGCGGCGUGCCUAAUACAUGCAAGUCGAGCGGACGGAUGGGAGCUUGCUCCCAGACCGUCAGCGGCGGACGGGUGAGUAACACGUGGGCAACCUGCCUGUAAGACUGGGAUAACUCCGGGAAACCGGGGCUAAUACCGGAUAACUCUUUCCCUCACAUGAGGGAAAGCUGAAAGAUGGCAUCUCGCUAUCACUUACAGAUGGGCCCGCGGCGCAUUAGCUAGGUGGUGAGGUGACGGGUCACCAAGGCGACGAUGCGUAGCCGCCCUGAGAGGGUGAUCGGCCACACGGUGACUGAGGAACGGCACACACUCCUACAGGAGGAAGCAGUAGGGACUCUUACGCAAUGGACGAAAGUCUGACGGAGCAACGCCGCGUGAGUCAUGAAGGUUUUCGGAUCGUAAAACUCUGUUGUCAGGGAAGAACAAGUACCGGAGUAACUGCCGGUACAUUGACGGUACCUGACCAGAAAGCCACGGCUAACUCCGUG